AGUGAACGCUGGCGGUAGGCCUAACACAUGCAAGUCGAACGGCAGCACAGUAAGAGCUUGCUCUUACGGGUGGCGAGUGGCGGACGGGUGAGGAAUACAUCGGAAUCUACUUUUUCGUGGGGGAUAACGUAGGGAAACUUACGCUAAUACCGCAUACGACCUACGGGUGAAAGCAGGGGAUCUUCGGACCUUGCGCGAUUGAAUGAGCCGAUGUCGGAUUAGCUAGUUGGCGGGGUAAAGGCCCACCAAGGCGACGAUCCGUAGCUGGUCUGAGAGGAUGAUCAGCCACACUGGAACUGAGACACGGUCCAGACUCCUACGGGAGGCAGCAGUGGGGAAUAUUGGACAAUGGGCGCAAGCCUGAUCCAGCCAUACCGCGUGGGUGAAGAAGGCCUUCGGGUUGUAAAGCCCUUUUGUUGGGAAAGAAAAGCAGCAGAUUAAUACCCCGCUGUUCUGACGGUACCCAAAGAAUAAGCACCGGCUAACUUCG
This 490-nucleotide ribosomal RNA is filed under the name uncultured bacterium. Its description in RNAcentral is "partial 16S ribosomal RNA". It matches the Rfam family "Bacterial small subunit ribosomal RNA", at positions 29 to 505 of the family's 1533-position model. The record is from RNAcentral.